AUUCGUGUGAACAGUGUGUCGCCAUACGUGGUUCCCACCACACUGGCGAAGGAUUUCUUUAAGCUGGAUGAUGAUGGAGUGUAUCGGAUUUAUUCUAACCUCAAGGAGGCAGUGCUUAAACCAGAAGAUGUGGCUCAGGCUGCUCUUUACUUGGCAGGUGAUGAGUCCAAGUAUGUGAGUGGCCAUAAUCUGGUAGUGGAUGGGGGAUUCACCGUUGUGAAUCCAGGUUUCUGUAUGUUUCCACAGUCCGUAUAAUGUUUUUGUUUAGAGUCUGUUCCGUGAAGGAAUUAAAAUGAAUAAAUUAAUAAAACUUAUAUGUCAGGAACACGGUGUUGGAAAUAGUAAUUUGCAAAGGUUCUCUAUGUGUGGAUUAGUUUUAAUAAUAUAAGAUUUGUAUUUAAUUCUUCCUCUUUCACCCAUGCCGUUUUGCUAUUUCUCUUAUUAUUAAAACUCAUCACAUUGAAGCCUUCGAGUUUACCUCAAUGUAAUGAAAUUAAUUGUACCUGGUAAUAACUAGUUGGUCUACAAAAUUAAGGCAUAAGAUGGCGCAUGUGUUGAGUUAGGUGUUUUGAUUGGCCAGUCAAAUGGACGGUUUGACUAAUGAAAGAGGUAAUGCCAAGAAGCCUACGGGUUUCCCUCAAUGUAAGGAAGUUAAUUGUACCUAGUAAUAACUAGUUGGUCUAGAAAAUUAAGGCAUAGGAUGGUGCAUGUGAUGAGUUAGGUAUUUUGAUUGGCUAGUCAAAUGGUCGGUUUGACUAAUGAAAGAUAUAGUCUCCAAGGGAGGAAUAUGCUAUGAAGCCUAGGGAUUUGGCACUUUGAUAGUAAGAAAAAUAAUAGGGACAGUAGAUGAAAAUUACAGAACUACUAUUUUAUAUUUAAUAUAACUACAUUUAUACAUAUAAUAUGUAUAUUUCUCAUCCAAUAAAUUUAACUAUUUUAGUUAAUUAAAUUUAUUAUUCACUUUUAAUUUUAUUAAAAUAAAUAUGAUAAAUAUAAUUAUUUUUCAUAACGAUUAUUAACUAUUUAAAGAUAGUGUAUAAUCAAUUAAAUCGCUAUUAUUUGAAGUAUGGAGUUAUAUAAUAAAUCUAAUUUACAAUUAUUAAAAUUGAUAAAUUUUAGAUUUUUCUUUGGAUAAUUACUUUUUUUUAUUUUUUUAAAUUAAAAUAUUAAUGUAAGGUAUUGACAACAAAAUUUAUGUGGUGGAGGUAUUAAUUUAAUGGAAUCACUUAGUAGUAGGUAUAAAUAAAUUUUUGUGUAUUAUUUAAGGUAUAUUAAUUAAUAUUUUUAUUUAAGUUAAAAUUCUUAAAACCGAAAAAAUUUAAGAUUUUGUCAUUAUAUAUAGUAUUGGGUUUCAAAUUGUAAAAUUGUUAAAAUGGACAAAUUUAUUAUUUAAUUUUUAUAUUUUAAAAAAUUCAUUAUAGUUGAUAAUUUAAUUUUAAAAAAUAUAUUAAAAUAUUUUUAAAUGUUAAAAUAUUUUAUUAUUUAAUUUAUAUAAUUUUAAAAAAUUUAUUAAUUAAUUCUUAAUUUUAUAAAAAAAUCACUACUAUAAAAAUAGAUUUAAAAUAGUGAUUAUAAAUUAUUAUCUAAUUAUAAGUUAAUAGCAACAAAUUUAAAUCCAUUAAAUCUGUUUUUACUAUUAAAUAUAAAAUAAAAUUUUUAAUUAUAUAAUUAUAUAAUAAAAACUAAAUUUUAUUUUUAAUAAUUUUAAAUUAUUAUUUUAAUAAUAUUAAAUUAAUAAUUAUAUAAUUACUGUAAAAAUACUAUAACCCAAAACUUUAAAAUAUAACAAUAAAUUUAUUACACUCACCUGAUAUAUCUAAAUAAAUUUUAGAUUUUAUUUCAUCGGUUCCUAAUUUUUAAUUAAAAAAAUAAAUUUAUUAAUUAACCAAUUAAUAUUAAAAAUAUUUUAAUUUUUUUAUAAUAUUUAAACGCUAACAAUAAAAUUGCUAUCAAAUGGUAAUUUUUUCAAAAGAGAUAAAAGUCUCUUGGAAUGCCCUAAACGGGCCCAGGCUGAUUUUUAAUUAAAAAAAUAAAUUUAUUAAUUAACCAAUUAAUAUUAAAAAUAUUUUAAUUUUUUUAUAAUAUUUAAACGCUAACAAUAAAAUUGCUAUCAAAUGGUAAUUUUUUCAAAAGAGAUAAAAGUCUCUUGGAAUGCCCUAAGCGGGCCCAGGCUGAUUGCUAGACGACGAGACGGCAGUGUUUUUGUUUUUAUUUAUUUAAUUUAACAACGGCCGGCAAUGCCGAUGUAUAUUUAUUUGUUUAAAAUAUUGUUUUUUGUCAGAUCUUAAAAUAUUAUUUAUUAUUUAAUUUAAUGUUAGAUUAAUUAUAUGUGUUUUUUAUAACAUAUAAUACUUUUUAUUUUUAAAAAUUUAAAAACAGAGAAAAAAAAAUGAAAAAAUUGAAGAAAGAAAGGAGAAAGUCAGCUUUGAUCGUCUGUUUUGAAAUUUUCUUCAGGCUUUUCUAAUUUUUUUGUUUUGGAUUCUCUUUUAAUUUUCUUUUUUUUUUUUUUUUUAUCUGUAGACAAUAACGGUCUCUAUCCUGUCUGAGAGGAGAGGAGACUGACAUUAUUUUUUUUUUUGCUAUUUAUUUAUUUUUCAUAAAUUUUCUUUCACUGUUUAACUUGAGGGUUGUUUGCUUAAUUUUCGUGAAGACUAGCAAUUUUAUUUUGCUAGUAGAAAUGAAUAUUUUUAUUUUAAUAUUAUAUCGCUCCAUUCAGUGGUUUACGCUCUAUAUUCGGUGGUUUAUGCUGUAUCUAGUGAGGAUGGUUGAGCUCUCCGCACAUUCUUCCUUGUGUACUUUGAUUUUCUCGAGUUGCUUUGUUUUCAGUUGCUCUUGAAAAUCUGGCUUUCUUUUGUUGCAUGGAAAUUCUUUUGUGUACUUUUGGUUACUCUCUUUUUUUUUUCAAUGUACGACAAUCAUUGUUGGUGCGGUUACUUUGGUGCUAUCUCUUCGUUUGUUGAUGCAUCAGUGGUAUUGAUAAUGGACUUUGCAAUGCUUGAAUCUGCGGGUCUGUUUAGUUGUGGAUUGGAUUUGAAUUUUAAAUUUGUGUUGACUCUGAAUCUAGUUGUGCAACUGUGAUUUGGUUUAAUUGGCUUUUAUGGUUCUUGGAUAGAUAACUGUUUUCAGCCACACAGUAAUUUUAUCACUUCACUUUGUUAAAUACAAUAUCUUUUGUACAUUAAAAAAAAACAUACAAAACUUUUUAUAUUUUAAUAAAAUUAUUAAAUUUUAAAAAUAACUUUUUGUAUUUUCUAAAAAAUAUCUAAUGUUUUAAUUAAAAAUAUGUUCUAUUAAUUUAUUUUUUUGUAUAUGCUCCAAACGUUGAAAUUAUACAUUUAAUAUAGUUUUUUUUUUUUUUUUAUAAAAGAAAAUGAAACUUAAAUCGCUAAAGCAAUGAUAACAUUACACAGCAUCCCUUGUACAAAGAUUCAAAAGAAAAGGGGAGAUUUACAAGAAUCUUCAUAUUUAGCAGCUAUGGCUUGGAUCUCCCCUAUACAAUUCUCUUGUAAUGGACAACUAUAUUUACCAGCAUUUUAAUAUAUUUAUUAUAAUUAUAAUAAACACCACAAAAAGUCUCUUUCUACAGUGGGUGAGAUCCACUCAUUACAACUAAACAAAAUUUAAUUCAAAUAAAUUGGUUUGUUCUUUAAAAUAUCUUUUAAUAUUUUAUAUUAUAUUUCAAUUUUUAAAAUGAUAUAGAUUUCAUUUUGUCUUUAGUGCUAUAAAAAAAUGGAGCUAAGGUCAUUGAUUUAUAUAAAAAAAAAUUAUGUCUAUUCAAUAAAAGUUUUUGCUAUGUUCUUCGCAACAUUCAUAGUUCUGGUUCAAGAAUGAAGGAUCUGAUGACUUAGCUGGGAGAAGAGCUAGAAGAUAGCCUUUGCUUCCCUGCAAUUGAUGUACUGCAGAAAAUGCUCCUCACCACUCUAUCUAUCGCUUUACCUGCAUGAUUUCUGAUUAUUACAUCUGCUACUGCAUCUGGUUGGUCCAUACAAUUAUAUUUUCGAAACUUUCUUGGCGGCUUUUGCCAGAUUCAAUUUAGGUACCAUCCUGUUAUGAUCAUUCAGAUGUAUAAAACAAUUUAUCUACUUAGUUAAAUUAUUUUUUUUUAAAAAACAAAUUAUAUAUAGGAAGAUUUAUUAAUAUUUGAAUUAUUAAUUAUUAAUUAAUACAAUAUAGGUGGUGUGUGGUGUGUGGUGUGCUGUGUAUAGAUAAGAAGUUUCAUUUUUGUGUAGUAAGAAGUUUAACCAGAUAAUAACUGUAUUAUAUAUAAUUGAAUCAGGAAGCCCUGAAUUCCACUCUCUCACCCCAACUUCUAACUUCUAACUUAAAAAAAGAAAGAAAGAAAAGAAGAAGUUCCUGUUUUGUGAUUGCAUUAUUGAGUUGAUGCCACGUAACCAUCCAACACUGGACAUCUCUCUAUUUAAUGGAGAGUAUGGGUUCAGGAUAGGCCACAGCGCAGAGCUAUUUGGUUUCCUCUCCUCCCCAGGCACUCAACUUUUUCCAGACGUUGUUUAUUUUCCAUGGCCGCUGCCUCACUUCUCUCAGCAACUCUAAAAAGGUCAUAAAUAUUUUACUUGUCUUCCACAAUAUACUGUUGUAUGCUCAAGUUAUUGAUUUAUCUGCAGGCUGCAAGACAAGGUGGCUCUCAUCACUGGAGCUUCUAGCGGCAUCGGGGAGUGCACUGCCAGACUUUUCUCCAAACACGGUGCUAAAUUAGUGAUUGCAGAUAUUCAGGACGAGUUAGGAAACUCUCUCUGCCAAGAACUGCGGGCAGAUGCCCCUUGCUCCUUCGUCCACUGCGACGUUACCAAAGAAGAAGAUGUCCAAAAUGCUGUUGAUACAGCUGUUUCUAAGUACGGGAAGCUUGAUAUCAUGAUCAAUAAUGCGGGGAUAGUUGGGGUAGCUAAACCCAACAUACUUGAUAAUGAAAAAUCAGAAUUUGAAAAGAUCGUUAGUGUUAAUUUAGUAGGUGUAUUCCUGGGGACUAAGCAUGCAGCUCGAGUAAUGAUCCCCAAUCGCCGAGGGAGUAUAAUUACAACUGCUAGUGUUUGUUCAGUGAUUGGAGGGGUAGCACCUCAUGCUUAUACUAGUUCAAAACAUGGGGUGCUAGGAUUGAUGAGAAAUACUGCUGUGGAGUUGGGACAAUAUGGGAUUCGUGUGAACUGUGUGUCACCGUACUUGGUUGCCACCCCACUGGCAAAGGAUUUCCUCAAGUUGGAUGAAGAUGGAGUUCAUCGGGUUUAUUCUAACCUCAAGGAGGCAGUGCUUAAACCGGAAGAUGUGGCUCAGGCUGCGCUUUACUUAGCAGGUGAUGAGUCCAAGUAUGUGAGUGGCCAUAAUCUGGUAGUGG
Molecule: long non-coding RNA, 5347 nt
Filed under: Manihot esculenta (cassava)
Lineage: Eukaryota; Viridiplantae; Streptophyta; Magnoliopsida; Malpighiales; Euphorbiaceae
Description: long non-coding RNA (MESC_LNC006891)
Source: RNAcentral